This 284-nucleotide long non-coding RNA is filed under the name Panax ginseng (ginseng). Its description in RNAcentral is "long non-coding RNA (PGIN_LNC018254)". The record is from RNAcentral. Lineage: Eukaryota; Viridiplantae; Streptophyta; Magnoliopsida; Apiales; Araliaceae.
AUAAACUUCAUAAUUGUAAUUCGACAUAAAUUUAUGACAAUAACAACAUUUUAUCCCUGAUUCAUUAGUAAGAACACUUCAACUAGCUAGCUAGCUAAAUACUCCAUUAGCACAUCAAAGCGCAAUUAUUACAAAAUGUAUUCACUGUCAGCAAGAGACGGAUAAUGCAGAUGGAAUAUAAAUCUCUCUUGAUAGUCUUCUGAAGUACUCAUAUAAUAGUAUGGGAAUUUCUUCAUGUACCCAUUCAUAAAAUUUAAUGCCAGUCUUGAAUACAUCCACCCUUU